RNAcentral lists this non-coding RNA (360 nucleotides) under Aplanochytrium stocchinoi. The record is from RNAcentral. Lineage: Eukaryota; Bigyra; Thraustochytrida; Thraustochytriidae.
CAGUGUAGAAUAGGAAAUUCUGUGUUUUUUUUUUUUUUUUUUCACUUGUUUCGAUUGGUUUUCUUUUUACUAAUAAAAAAAGGAAUUCUUUUGAUAAUAAUUUUUUCACUUGUUUGGCUUGGACUUGCUUAGAAAGAGGCUAGGCUUGUUUAGAAAUCGUCUACAAUGGAAACGUUAAAAGUUUGUCUUAUUGGUGCUGGCCGCAUGGGUCAAAUCAGAGCAAAGAAUCUGUAUUCCAACCCUCGAGCAAAAAUUGUGUAUGUGGCUGGAGGCGGAGAUGCUGGGAAAGAACUAGCGAAAACGUAUGGUGGGGAGCACGUCUCUUCUUUCUACGAAGUUGACACCUCAUCUAUCAACGCU